Molecule: long non-coding RNA, 1086 nt
Organism: Diachasmimorpha longicaudata
Lineage: Eukaryota; Metazoa; Arthropoda; Insecta; Hymenoptera; Braconidae
Exons: 2
Source: RefSeq, a predicted model, not a curated record
UCGAAAAUAUUAACAAAACAGUAAACGAACCUAUAUCAUAUGACUGAAGAUGUCGCCAGUGAGGAGAUUUGAACAAAAACUCAUCACCCGUCUAGAUUCUCAUAAUCAUCAUUAAAAAGAAAUUAAACUGUUAUUAAUGAAACUAAAAUGACUCGAUACUGCUUGAGACGAAAAAAGAAGCACCUUCAAGGCUCCAAUCUCUCACGAAAAGCGAAAAAAUUUAACAUGAUAUCCUCCAGGCAUCACGAACAUCCUUACGCAACUCGUUCAAAAACCGCUGGUGAGCCUCUCCUACUAUUCAAUGGUAUCCAAAACGUCUCCAAGAAAACUACAACAGAUCCUAGUGUUACCUGCCUCGGAGCAUAUCGUAAAAUUCCACGAUUUAUUGACCUGGAAACUAACCGAGAAGAGCCCCAACGUAUUGCGCUUAUUGAAAAAUUCAAACCCAAUUUUCAAUGCAAAAUUGAAAAAGUAUUUAUUCUCCAUUUAAGAUCAAAUAUUAGAAUAAAAGUUUGAUGCGACCUGUGCUAUUAAGAGGAUCACAGAAAGCCACUAUUUCUUAAAGAAUAUCAAAUUAUUUUCCGGUGCCAAAUUAUUAAUAUUCUUGUAUAAUAACAAUCAUUAUUUUAGAUGGGCUGUCAACGCAUUGAGAGCUGACUGAGGCAGAAAUUGAUUUUUUUAACAUCAAGAAACAAUUGUGCGAGAAUUUAAAAAUUAUAUCUUAGUUGGAAAAUAUAGAGACGUUAGGAAAAGGAAUGAAAUUUCUGCCAUUCCUUCGAUUUCGGUUUUUCCGUUGUACAAAUAAUCCAAUUCCUCCCGUAAAUUAUUGUCCAAGUACCUUCUACUCUGUAGGCCUCUUAAUUUGAUUAAAUCCGCGCGGGUCAGUGGGAUUUUUUGUAGAUGUAAUUUUGAUACUUCUGAUGGGUAGAUGCCAAUCCACUUGAUUGUUGGACAGGCAAGAUAUUUAUUCUCCCAUGACAAUGCCGAAGAUCCAUAUCUAGAUGUAAAAUUGUAAUAGUGAAUCGGUUUUUUAUGAAAAUUCUUUUGUAGAACAUGAUUAAUGAAAACUCGUCAUUUAAAAAUGUU